AGGGGUUCUGAGAGGAAGGUCCCCCACAUUGGAACUGAGACACGGUCCAAACUCCUACGGGAGGCAGCAGUGAGGAAUAUUGGUCAAUGGGGGAGAGCCUGAACCAGCCAAGUAGCGUGAAGGAUGACUGCCCUAUGGGUUGUAAACUUCUUUUAUAAAGGAAUAAAGUCGGGUAUGGAUACCCGUUUGCAUGUACUUUAUGAAUAAGGAUCGGCUAACUCCGUGCCAGCAGCCGCGGUAAUACGGAGGAUCCGAGCGUUAUCCGGAUUUAUUGGGUUUAAAGGGAGCGUAGAUGGAUGUUUAAGUCAGUUGUGAAAGUUUGCGGCUCAGCCGUAAAAUUGCAGUUGAUACUGGAUAUCUUGAGUGCAGUUGAGGCAGGCGGAAUUCGUGGUGUAGCGGUGAAAUGCUUAGAUAUCACGAAGAACUCCGAUUGCGAAGGCAGCCUGCUAAGCUGCAACUGACAUUGAGGCUCGAAAGUGUGGGUAUCAAACAGGAUUAGAUACCCUGGUAGUCCACACGGUAAACGAUGAAUACUCGCUGUUUGCGAUAUACUGCAAGCGGCCAAGCGAAAGCGUUAAGUAUUCCACCUGGGGAGUA
This 597-nucleotide ribosomal RNA is filed under the name uncultured bacterium. RNAcentral describes it as "bacterial SSU rRNA". It matches the Rfam family "Bacterial small subunit ribosomal RNA", at positions 285 to 882 of the family's 1533-position model. The record is from RNAcentral.